AUGGAGGGGGGAGGUCGGACCAACUCAAUCCAGCGCGCCUUUAGCCUCGCCGCGGAGAGAGGCUCGCCUGUCGUCUUCGAGCCGGCCAUGGGUAUGGUCUUCUCGUCAGACCAAGAGGCGCACGAGUUUUACAACGCCUAUUCUUGGGAAGUUGGGUUUGGGAUCAAGCGGGGAAACAAGUAUACCACGAAGCCCGCAUGCUACAAAACAAUGCAGGAAUUCCUCUGCUCGUGCGAGGGAUCCAACAAGGAGGAGAACACAAAAUCUGCUAGGACAAAAUGCAAGGCUAUGGUCAGGCUAAAGAGGACUGCAGAUGAUGGAUGGUACUUCUCCACAGUCGUCCUGACCCAUAACCACGAGCUUGCAGACACUGCCGGAGAGAAGAAGGUGUGGAAGUGCCACAAUACCAUUGACUAG
RNAcentral lists this ribosomal RNA (417 nucleotides) under Triticum aestivum (bread wheat). RNAcentral's name for it is "partial small subunit ribosomal RNA". Lineage: Eukaryota; Viridiplantae; Streptophyta; Magnoliopsida; Poales; Poaceae. The record is from RNAcentral.